AAAAUUUAUUGAUACAAUAUUAAACCAAUAUUGGUAGUGGCUGAGAUAAGACAUUGUUUGUUGUAUGACUUUUCUGUUCUUAAAAACACUUCUCAAUCUAUAGUGUACGUACAUUGGUACAAACCAUGUUGACACAUACUUCUUAGAGUCAUAGCUGGUGUACGGUCACCCGAGUGAGAAAUGUUAUCUCCGCGAGGUACACGUUGACUUGUGUACGUACACUCUGCCAAUAGACGACUGAAUUCCCCUGGUGUGAGAAUGACGUUCUCCUCAACAUUCCCUAUUCCAUAUUCUUCUACAAUUACAUCGUUCUACUUGUUAUAAUCAUAAUCUUCGCCACUAAUUUCACUACCGUCAAUAGUAUGAUCGAGGGUACUUCCCCCAAUAGAUCCAUCGUCACCCUAAUAAGCAUCAUACCCAUCACCAUCUUCGUUGUCCCCCUCCUCUUCAUCCUCAUCUGUUUUAUCGUCUUCAACGUCGUCUUGCUCAUCUACGACCUCAUUAUUUUCAUCAACAUUUGAAACACUAUCACACACACAGUCACUUUCAGCAUCGUCACCAUGAGUUCUAGAGACAUUAUUUCCGAGUGUCUUGACGGUUGUAAUAAAAGAGACAAACAAGUUGAGAGAAGGAUACUGACCACGAAUAAAAAAGAACGUAUUCAACCCCACUUGACUGUCAAUGUAGACAGGAGGGCGUUUAGUAUCUAUCAUCACUAACAUCUCUCCCGGCUAGUGUACGUACAAAUUCUGUGUACGUCAUGUUUUCCUUAACACGUACACAUCGACCAAACAUGUCUUCUUUUAGUUCAAAUUUCCAUUCUUUUUCUUUGCAUCUCCACUCACCGACCAUAAUAAAUACGGGAAUAUCUAUUACCCAACAGCAUCAUAAAUUCAGGAGAAACCCAUUAAAUGCAACUGAAAACAUGAUUAUAUCUACAAAAACAAAUAGAAUUUCGAUAU
This 962-nucleotide small RNA is filed under the name Arabidopsis thaliana (thale cress). Its description in RNAcentral is "ATSL173780". The record is from RNAcentral. Lineage: Eukaryota; Viridiplantae; Streptophyta; Magnoliopsida; Brassicales; Brassicaceae.